UUGGGAAUUCCUUGCAAAUCUCAUUAAAUGGCAGAUUCUGAUUCAGUAGGUGUGGGACAGGACCUGAGAUUCUGCAUUUCUAAUGAGCUCUCAGGGAAUAUUGCU
RNAcentral lists this microRNA precursor (105 nucleotides) under Marmota monax (woodchuck). Lineage: Eukaryota; Metazoa; Chordata; Mammalia; Rodentia; Sciuridae. The record is from RNAcentral.